UCCUUCAUGUACCCAUGGGUUUAUUGGCUUACAUGUUACCAAUUUUUCUGCAAUCAAGCUAAUCUUUGCUGCCACAAAACAUUUCUCUAAGUCACUAACUCAUUUUCAAAGACUACUCAAGCAAAAAUAAGAAUUCUUACUAUUCCUUGCUUGAAUCACCAAAACCAAGCUUUUUUCUUCCUUUCUCUCUUUCUCUUUCUUCUCCUCCUAGGGUGUAGAUGUGCUAGAAAUUGGGGUUAAAGGCUACAAAUUUAGUGCUCAAGAAGUUUGGAGAAGAAAGGAAAAGAAAACAUGGAAAGGAAAGUGAAGAAAACUUGAUUUCAUGGUGGAUAAAGAGAAAAUGGCAUGGAAGCUUCAAGAAUGGCAUGGAGCAUGGAGGAGAAGAGGAAAAAAUCUUGUUGGAGGAGAUAAGAACGGUUUUG
This 422-nucleotide long non-coding RNA is filed under the name Theobroma cacao (cacao). RNAcentral describes it as "long non-coding RNA (TCAC_LNC003795)". The record is from RNAcentral. Lineage: Eukaryota; Viridiplantae; Streptophyta; Magnoliopsida; Malvales; Malvaceae.